AGCGAACGCUGGCGGCAGGCCUAAAACAUGCAAGUCGAACGCCGUAGCAAUACGGAGUGGCAGACGGGUGAGUAACACGUGGGAACAUACCCUUUGGUUCGGAACAACACAGGGAAACUUGUGCUAAUACCGGAUAAGCCCUUACGGGGAAAGAUUUAUCGCCGAAGGAUUGGCCCGCGUCUGAUUAGCUAGUUGGUGGGGUAACGGCCCACCAAGGCUACGAUCAGUAGCUGGUCUGAGAGGAUGAUCAGCCACACUGGGACUGAGACACGGCCCAGACUCCUACGGGAGGCAGCAGUUAGGAAUCUUGGACAAUGGGCGCAAGCCUGAUCCAGCCAUGCCGCGUGAGUGAUGAA
RNAcentral lists this ribosomal RNA (356 nucleotides) under uncultured bacterium. Its description in RNAcentral is "bacterial SSU rRNA". It matches the Rfam family "Bacterial small subunit ribosomal RNA", at positions 29 to 412 of the family's 1533-position model. The record is from RNAcentral.